AACGCUAGCUACAGGCUUAACACAUGCAAGUCGAUGGGGCAGCAUGAACUUAGCUUGUAAGUUUGAUGGCGACCGGCGCACGGGUGAGUAACACGUAUCCAACCUGCCGAUGACUCGGGGAUAGCCUUUCGAAAGAAAGAUUAAUACCCGAUGGCAUAGUUCUUCCCGCAUGGUAGAACUAUUAAAGGAUUUCGGUCAUCGAUGGGGAUGCGUUCCAUUAGGUUGUUGGCGGGGUAACGGCCCACCAAGCCUUCGAUGGAUAGGGGUUCUGAGAGGAAGGUCCCCCACAUUGGAACUGAGACACGGUCCAAACUCCUACGGGAGGCAGCAGUGAGGAAUAUUGGUCAAUGGACGAGAGUCUGAACCAGCCAAGUAGCGUGAAGGAUGACUGCCCUAUGGGUUGUAAACUUCUUUUAUACGGGAAUAAAGUGAGGCACGUGUGCCUUUUUGUAUGUACCGUAUGAAUAAGGAUCGGCUAACUCCGUGCCAGCAGCCGCGGUAAUACGGAGGAUCCGAGCGUUAUCCGGAUUUAUUGGGUUUAAAGGGAGCGUAGGCGGACGCUUAAGUCAGUUGUGAAAGUUUGCGGCUCAACCGUAAAAUUGCAGUUGAUACUGGGUGUCUUGAGUACAGUAGAGGCAGGCGGAAUUCGUGGUGUAGCGGUGAAAUGCUUAGAUAUCACGAAGAACUCCGAUUG
RNAcentral lists this ribosomal RNA (694 nucleotides) under uncultured bacterium. Its description in RNAcentral is "bacterial SSU rRNA". It matches the Rfam family "Bacterial small subunit ribosomal RNA", at positions 32 to 715 of the family's 1533-position model. The record is from RNAcentral.